UACAGAGGGAUGCUACCGGGCGACCGGAUGCGGAUCUCGAAAGCCUGUCCCAGUUCGGACUGGAGUCUGCAACCCGACUCCACGAAGUUGGAUUCGCUAGUAAUCGCGCAUCAGCCAUGGCGCGGUGAAUACGUUCCCGGGCCUUGUACACACCGCCCGUCAAGCCAUGGGAGCCGGGGGCGCCUGAAGUCCGGGACCGCGAGGACCGGCCUAAGGCGAAACUGGUGACUGGGGCUAAGUCGUAACAAGGUAUC
This 254-nucleotide ribosomal RNA is filed under the name uncultured bacterium. RNAcentral describes it as "partial 16S ribosomal RNA". It matches the Rfam family "Bacterial small subunit ribosomal RNA", at positions 1238 to 1500 of the family's 1533-position model. The record is from RNAcentral.